RNAcentral lists this ribosomal RNA (903 nucleotides) under uncultured bacterium. RNAcentral describes it as "bacterial SSU rRNA". It matches the Rfam family "Bacterial small subunit ribosomal RNA", at positions 8 to 916 of the family's 1533-position model. The record is from RNAcentral.
AGAGUUUGAUCCUGGCUCAGAACGAACGCUGGCGGCGUGGAUUAGGCAUGCAAGUCGAACGAUCCCGCAAGGGAUAGUGGCGAAAGGGUGCGUGACACGUGGGCAAUCUGCCCCCGAAACGGGAAUAACUUCGGGAAACCGAAGCUAAUACCUGAUGACACCGAGCUGCCGCAUGGUGGCACGGUGAAAGGCGUCCGCAAGGGUGCCGAUCGGGGAUGAGCCCGCGGCCUAUCAGCUAGUUGGUGAGGUAACGGCCCACCAAGGCGAUGACGGGUAGCCGGCCUGAGAGGGUGGUCGGCCACAUUGGGACUGAGACACUGCCCAGACUCCUACGGGAGGCUGCAGUCGAGGAUCUUCCGCAAUGGGGGAAACCCUGACGGAGCGACGCCGCGUGGAGGAUGAAGGCCUUCGGGUCGUAAACUCCUGUCAGUCUGGAAGAAAAUCUGCAGCAAUGUGGAUUGACCGUACAGGCAGAGGAAGCUCCGGCUAACUCCGUGCCAGCAGCCGCGGUAAUACGGAGGGAGCGAGCGUUGUUCGGAAUCAUUGGGCGUAAAGGGCAUGUAGGCGGCUCUGUAAGUCGGGUGUGAGAUCCCAUCUCUCAAGGGUGGAACGGCAUUCGAAACUGCAGGGCUUGAGUUCGGGGGAAGAGAGCGGAAUUCUCGGUGUAGCGGUGAUAUGCGUAGAUAUCGAGAAGAACACCAGCGGCGUAAGCGGCUCUCUAUCCUGAAACUGACGCUGAGGUGCGAAAGCCAGGGGAGCGAACGGGAUUAGAUACCCCGGUAGUCCUGGCCAUAAACGAUGUGCACUUGGUGUUGGGCCGCGAGGCUCAGUGCCGAAGCUAACGCAUUAAGUGCACCGCCUGGGGAGUACGACCGCAAGGUUGAAACUCAAAUGAAUUGACGG